GACGAACGCUGGCGGCGUGCUUAACACAUGCAAGUCGAACGGAAAGGCCCUGCUUUUGUGGGGUGCUCGAGUGGCGAACGGGUGAGUAACACGUGAGUAACCUGCCCUUGACUUUGGGAUAACUUCAGGAAACUGGGGCUAAUACCGGAUAGGAGCUCCUGCUGCAUGGUGGGGGUUGGAAAGUUUCGGCGGGUGGGGAUGGACGCGCGGCUUAUCAGCUUGUUGGUGGGGUAGGGGCUUACCAAGGCUUUGACGGGUAGGCGGCCUGGGAGGGUGAACGGCGACAUUGGGACUACGAGAGGGAGCAGUCUGCUAUGGGAGGCAGCAGUGGGGAAUAUUGUACAAUGGGCGCACGCCUGAUGCAGCAACGCUGCGGUCGGGAUGACGGCCUGUGGGUUGUAAACCGCAUUCGCUUGUGACGAAGCGUGAGUGACGGUAAUGGGUAAAGAAGCACCGGCUAACUACGUG
Molecule: ribosomal RNA, 468 nt
Filed under: uncultured bacterium
Lineage: Bacteria
Description: partial 16S ribosomal RNA
Rfam family: Bacterial small subunit ribosomal RNA
Source: RNAcentral